UGGGCCGUUGCCAAGGGGGAAGGCACAGGACUUUGACUCCUGCAUUCGUGGGUUCGAAUCCCGCCGGCCCAG
This 72-nucleotide transfer RNA is filed under the name Enterocloster citroniae. Its description in RNAcentral is "tRNA-Gln". It matches the Rfam family "tRNA". Rfam says of the family: Transfer RNA (tRNA) molecules are approximately 80 nucleotides in length. Their secondary structure includes four short double-helical elements and three loops (D, anti-codon, and T loops). Further hydrogen bonds mediate the characteristic L-shaped molecular structure. tRNAs have two regions of fundamental functional importance: the anti-codon, which is responsible for specific mRNA codon recognition, and the 3' end, to which the tRNAs corresponding amino acid is attached (by aminoacyl-tRNA synthetases). tRNAs cope with the degeneracy of the genetic code in two manners: having more than one tRNA (with a specific anti-codon) for a particular amino acid; and 'wobble' base-pairing, i.e. permitting non-standard base-pairing at the 3rd anti-codon position. RNAcentral also lists the same sequence under 1 other name. Lineage: Bacteria; Bacillati; Bacillota; Clostridia; Lachnospirales; Lachnospiraceae. The record is from RNAcentral.